This 365-nucleotide ribosomal RNA is filed under the name uncultured bacterium. RNAcentral describes it as "partial 16S ribosomal RNA". It matches the Rfam family "Bacterial small subunit ribosomal RNA", at positions 338 to 700 of the family's 1533-position model. The record is from RNAcentral.
CCUACGGGUGGCAGCAGUGAGGAAUAUUGGUCAAUGGGCGCGAGCCUGAACCAGCCAAGUAGCGUGAAGGAUGACUGCCCUACGGGGUGUAAACUGCGUUUAUAAAGGAAUAAAGUGAGGCACGUGUGCCUUUUUGUAUGUACUUUAUGAAUAAGGAUCGGCUAACUCCGUGCCAGCAGCAGCGGUAAUACGGAGGAUCCGAGCGUUAUCCGGAUUUCGUGGGGUUAAAGGGAGCGUAGAUGGGUUGUUAAGUCAGUUGUGAAAGUUUGCGGCUCAACCGUAAAAUUGCAAUUGCUACUGGCAGUCUUGCGUCCAGUUGCGGUAGGCGGAAUUCGUUGUGUAGCGGUGACCUGCUUAUAUCUCAC